GAGUUUGAUCAUGGCUCAGAUUGAACGCUGGCGGCAGGCCUAACACAUGCAAGUCGAACGGUAACAGGAAGCAGCUUGCUGCUUUGCUGACGAGUGGCGGACGGGUGAGUAAUGUCUGGGAAACUGCCUGAUGGAGGGGGAUAACUACUGGAAACGGUGGCUAAUACCGCAUAACGUCGCAAGACCAAAGAGGGGGACCUUCGGGCCUCUUGCCAUCAGAUGUGCCCAGAUGGGAUUAGCUUGUUGGUGAGGUAACGGCUCACCAAGGCGACGAUCCCUAGCUGGUCUGAGAGGAUGACCAGCCACACUGGAACUGAGACACGGUCCAGACUCCUACGGGAGGCAGCAGUGGGGAAUAUUGCACAAUGGGCGCAAGCCUGAUGCAGCCAUGCCGCGUGUAUGAAGAAGGCCUUCGGGUUGUAAAGUACUUUCAGCGGGGAGGAAGGUGUUGUGGUUAAUAACCGCAGCAAUUGACGUUACCCGCAGAAGAAGCACCGGCUAACUCCGUGCCAGCAGCCGCGGUAAUACGGAGGGUGCAAGCGUUAAUCGGAAUUACUGGGCGUAAAGCGCACGCAGGCGGUCUGUCAAGUCGGAUGUGAAAUCCCCGGGCUCAACCUGGGAACUGCAUUCGAAACUGGCAGGCUUGAGUCUUGUAGAGGGGGGUAGAAUUCCAGGUGUAGCGGUGAAAUGCGUAGAGAUCUGGAGGAAUACCGGUGGCGAAGGCGGCCCCCUGGACAAAGACUGACGCUCAGGUGCGAAAGCGUGGGGAGCAAACAGGAUUAGAUACCCUGGUAGUCCACGCCGUAAACGAUGUCUACUUGGAGGUUGUGCCCUUGAGGCGUGGCUUCCGGAGCUAACGCGUUAAGUAGACCGCCUGGGGAGUACGGCCGCAAGGUUAAAACUCAAAUGAAUUGACGGGGGCCCGCACAAGCGGUGGAGCAUGUGGUUUAAUUCGAUGCAACGCGAAGAACCUUACCUGGUCUUGACAUCCACAGAAGAAUCCAGAGAUGGAUUUGUGCCUUCGGGAACUGUGAGACAGGUGCUGCAUGGCUGUCGUCAGCUCGUGUUGUGAAAUGUUGGGUUAAGUCCCGCAACGAGCGCAACCCUUAUCCUUUGUUGCCAGCGGUUAGGCCGGGAACUCAAAGGAGACUGCCAGUGAUAAACUGGAGGAAGGUGGGGAUGACGUCAAGUCAUCAUGGCCCUUACGACCAGGGCUACACACGUGCUACAAUGGCGCAUACAAAGAGAAGCGACCUCGCGAGAGCAAGCGGACCUCAUAAAGUGCGUCGUAGUCCGGAUUGGAGUCUGCAACUCGACUCCAUGAAGUCGGAAUCGCUAGUAAUCGUGGAUCAGAAUGCCACGGUGAAUACGUUCCCGGGCCUUGUACACACCGCCCGUCACACCAUGGGAGUGGGUUGCAAAAGAAGUAGGUAGCUUAACCUUCGGGAGGGCGCUUACCACUUUGUGAUUCAUGACUGGGGUGAAGUCGUAACAAGGUAACCGUAGGGGAACCUGCGGUUGGAUCACCUCCUUACCUUAAAGAA
Molecule: ribosomal RNA, 1544 nt
Filed under: Salmonella enterica subsp. enterica serovar Enteritidis
Lineage: Bacteria; Pseudomonadati; Pseudomonadota; Gammaproteobacteria; Enterobacterales; Enterobacteriaceae
Description: bacterial SSU rRNA
Rfam family: Bacterial small subunit ribosomal RNA
Source: RNAcentral